GGGGCCUUAGCUCAGCUGGGAGAGCGUCGCGUUCGCAAUGCGAAGGUCGGGAGUUCGAUCCUCCUCCGCUCCACCA
Molecule: transfer RNA, 76 nt
Filed under: compost metagenome
Description: tRNA-Ala
Rfam family: tRNA
About the family: Transfer RNA (tRNA) molecules are approximately 80 nucleotides in length.
Source: RNAcentral